GAUAAAAUGGCUGAAGAUAGGCGGUAAGCUGUAAACUUAUUCAUGAAUUAAAUUCUUUUAUC
Molecule: transfer RNA, 62 nt
Filed under: Dorcus tityus
Lineage: Eukaryota; Metazoa; Arthropoda; Insecta; Coleoptera; Lucanidae
Description: tRNA-Tyr
Source: RNAcentral